Pelagibacteraceae bacterium BACL5 MAG-120820-bin39 is the source of this 90-nucleotide non-coding RNA. The record is from Rfam. NCBI's taxonomy places the organism in Bacteria, Pseudomonadati, Pseudomonadota, Alphaproteobacteria, Candidatus Pelagibacterales, Candidatus Pelagibacteraceae.
AUCUCAUCUACGGGAGAGACUACAAAAAUUUGUAGCGCCGAAGGAGCAACUACCCAGGAAUCUCUCAGGCAAAAGGACCGUAACAUAUUG